CCUACGGGAGGCAGCAGUGGGGAAUAUUGCACAAUGGGGGAAACCCUGAUGCAGCGACGCAGCGUGAGUGAAGAAGUAUUUCGGUAUGUAAAGCUCUAUCAGCAGGGAAGAAAAUGACUGUACCUGAUUAAGAAGCCCCGGCUAACUACGUGCCAGCAGCCGCGGUAAUACGUAGGGGGCAAGCGUUAUCCGGAUUUACUGGGUGUAAAGGGAGCGUAGACGGCAGCACAAGUCUGGAGUGAAAUGCCGCGGCUUAACCCCGGAACUUCAUUUGAAACUGUGAAGCUUGAGUGCAGGAGAGGUAAGUGGAAUUCGUAGUGUAGCGGUGAAAUGCGUAGAUAUCAGGAAGAACACCAGUGGCGAAGGCGGUUUACUGGACUGUAACUGACGUUGAGGCUCGAAAGCGUGGGGAGCAAACAGGAUUAGAUACCCUAGUAGUC
RNAcentral lists this ribosomal RNA (440 nucleotides) under uncultured bacterium. RNAcentral's name for it is "partial 16S ribosomal RNA". It matches the Rfam family "Bacterial small subunit ribosomal RNA", at positions 338 to 795 of the family's 1533-position model. The record is from RNAcentral.